RNAcentral lists this ribosomal RNA (398 nucleotides) under uncultured bacterium. RNAcentral describes it as "bacterial SSU rRNA". It matches the Rfam family "Bacterial small subunit ribosomal RNA", at positions 357 to 754 of the family's 1533-position model. The record is from RNAcentral.
AGGAAUAUUGGUCAAUGGACGAGAGUCUGAACCAGCCAAGUAGCGUGAAGGAUGACUGCCUAUGGGUUGUAAACUUCUUUUAUACGGGAAUAAGUGAGGCACGUGUGCCUUUUUGUAUGUACCGUAUGAAUAAGGAUCGGCUAACUCCGUGCCAGCAGCCGCGGUAAUACGGAGGAUCCGAGCGUUAUCCGGAUUUAUUGGGUUUAAAGGGAGCGUAGGCGGACGCUUAAGUCAGUUGUGAAAGUUUGCGGCUCAACCGUAAAAUUGCAGUUGAUACUGGGUGUCUUGAGUACAGUAGAGGCAGGCGGAAUUCGUGGUGUAGCGGUGAAAUGCUUAGAUAUCACGAAGAACUCCGAUUGCGAAGGCAGCCUGCUGGACUGUAACUGACGCUGAUGCUC